Xyrichtys novacula (pearly razorfish) is the source of this 453-nucleotide non-coding RNA. Lineage: Eukaryota; Metazoa; Chordata; Actinopteri; Labriformes; Labridae. The record is from the annotation of a GenBank genome assembly.
UUGUGUGUUUGUUGAACCUGAGUUUGUGUCGUGUUUGAACUUGAGAUUUUGCUGUUUUGUGAUCUUGAAUUUGUGUGGGUUUUUUUUAACUUGAGUUUUUGGUGUUUUUGAAUUUGAGUUUCUGUUGUUUUUGAACAUGAGGUUGUGGCAAUUUGUUAAACUUGAGAUUUGGGUGUCGGUUGAAAUUAAGUUUCGGCAUUUUUGAACUUGAGUUUGUGGUGUUUUUGAACUUGAAUUUGUGUGUUUUUUGAACCUGAGUUUGUUGAACUUGAGUUUUUGGCAAUUCUUUAAUGUUAAUAUAGGUUAUUUGUUGAAUUUGAAAUUUUGGCAUUUUUUGAACUUAAGCUUGUGGUGUUUGUUGAACUUGAGUUUGUGGCAAUUGUUAACAUUGAGUCUGUAUUUUUCUCUGAACAUUAGUUGGUGGCAAUUGUUGAACUUGAGUUCGUGUGUUUG